CGAACGCUGGCGGCGUGCUUAACACAUGCAAGUCGAACGAGGAUUGAGGUGCUUGCACUUCAAAGCCGAGUGGCGGACGGGUGAGUAACACGUGAUCAACCUACCUUCAGGUGGGGGACAACCCGGGGAAACCUGGGCUAAUACCGCAUAAAGUUCAUUUUUCGCAUGAAAGCUGAACCAAAGGUGGCCUCUGCUUGCAAGCCAUCACCUGAAGAGGGGGUCGCGGCGUAUCAGCUUGUUGGUGAGGUAAUGGCUCACCAAGGCUACGACGCGUAGCGGGUCUGAGAGGACGACCCGUCACAUUGGGACUGAGAUACGGCCCAGACUCCUACGGGAGGCAGCAGUGGGGAAUUUUGCGCAAUGGUCGAAAGACUGACGCAGCGACGCCGCGUGUGGGAGGAAGCCUUUCGGGGUGUAAACCACUGUCAGGGGGGAAGAACUCCCGUCUAGUGAAUAGCUAGGUGGGUUGACGGUACCCCCAGAGGAAGCGCCGGCUAACUCC
Molecule: ribosomal RNA, 502 nt
Filed under: uncultured bacterium
Lineage: Bacteria
Description: bacterial SSU rRNA
Rfam family: Bacterial small subunit ribosomal RNA
Source: RNAcentral